UGGGGAAUAUUGCGCAAUGGGCGAAAGCCUGACGCAGCGACGCCGCGUGAGGGAAGAAGGCCUUCGGGUCGUAAACCUCUGUCUAGAGGGAAGAAACCAUUGAGGUCGAACAGGCCUCUUUGCUGACGGUACCUCUGAAGGAAGCACCGGCUAACUCCGUGCCAGCAGCCGCGGUAAUACGGAGGGUGCGAGCGUUAAUCGGAAUCACUGGGCGUAAAGCGCACGUAGGCGGUGUCGUAAGUCGGAUGGGAAAGCCCUCGGCUCAACCGGCGAACUGCAUUCGAUACUGCGAUGCGUGAGGGCCGGAGAGGGUGGCGGAAUUCCAGGUGUAGGAGUGAAAUCCGUAGAUAUCUGGAGGAACACCAGUGGCGAAGGCGGCCACCUGGCCGGCAACUGACGCUGAGGUACGAAAGCGUGGGGAUCAAACA
Molecule: ribosomal RNA, 428 nt
Filed under: uncultured prokaryote
Description: bacterial SSU rRNA
Rfam family: Bacterial small subunit ribosomal RNA
Source: RNAcentral